This 448-nucleotide ribosomal RNA is filed under the name uncultured bacterium. RNAcentral describes it as "bacterial SSU rRNA". It matches the Rfam family "Bacterial small subunit ribosomal RNA", at positions 329 to 797 of the family's 1533-position model. The record is from RNAcentral.
ACCCAGACUCCUACGGGAGGCAGCAGUGGGGAAUAUUGCACAAUGGGGGAAACCCUGAUGCAGCGACGCCGCGUGAGCGAAGAAGUAUUUCGGUAUGUAAAGCUCUAUCAGCAGGGAAGAAAAUGACGGUACCUGAGUAAGAAGCUCCGGCUAAAUACGUGCCAGCAGCCGCGGUAAUACGUAUGGAGCAAGCGUUAUCCGGAUUUACUGGGCGUAAAGGGAGCGUAGGCGGCAAUACAAGUCGGAAGUGAAAUACCCGGGCUCAACCUGGGAACUGCUUUGGAAACUGUAUGGCUAGAGUGCUGGAGAGGUAAGCGGAAUUCCUAGUGUAGCGGUGAAAUGCGUAGAUAUUAGGAGGAACACCAGUGGCGAAGGCGGCUUACUGGACAGUAACUGACGUUGAGGCGCGAAAGCGUGGGGAGCAAACAGGAUUAGAUACCCGCGUACA